GGGUAAUUAGCUCAGUUGGUAGAGCAGCUGACUCUUAAUCAGCGGGUCGGGGGUUCAAACCCCUCAUUACCCA
Molecule: transfer RNA, 73 nt
Filed under: Trichococcus collinsii
Lineage: Bacteria; Bacillati; Bacillota; Bacilli; Lactobacillales; Carnobacteriaceae
Also listed under: 6 other names
Description: tRNA_Lys_CTT
Rfam family: tRNA
About the family: Transfer RNA (tRNA) molecules are approximately 80 nucleotides in length.
Source: RNAcentral